UUGUCCCUAGUUGCCAGCACGUGAAGGUGGGAACUCUAGGGAGACUGCCGGUGACAAACCGGAGGAAGGUGGGGAUGACGUCAAGUCAUCAUGGCCCUUACGGCCAGGGCUACACACGUACUACAAUGGUCGGUACAGAGGGCAGCGAGACCGCGAGGUGGAGCCAAUCCCAGAAAAACCGAUCUCAGUCCGGAUUGGAGUCUGCAACUCGACUCCAUGAAGUCGGAAUCGGCUAGUAAUCGCGGAUCAGCCAUGCCGCGGUGAA
This 265-nucleotide ribosomal RNA is filed under the name uncultured bacterium. RNAcentral describes it as "partial 16S ribosomal RNA". It matches the Rfam family "Bacterial small subunit ribosomal RNA", at positions 1105 to 1366 of the family's 1533-position model. The record is from RNAcentral.